Molecule: ribosomal RNA, 399 nt
Filed under: uncultured bacterium
Lineage: Bacteria
Description: bacterial SSU rRNA
Rfam family: Bacterial small subunit ribosomal RNA
Source: RNAcentral
AGGGAAUUUUCCACAAUGGACGAAAGUCUGAUGGAGCAACGCCGCGUGCAGGAUGAAUGCCUUCGGGUUGUAAACUGCUUUUAUAUGUGACGAUUAUGACGGUAGCAUAUGAAUAAGCCCCGGCUAACUACGUGCCAGCAGCCGCGGUAAUACGUAGGGGGCGAGCGUUGUCCGGAUUUACUGAGCGUAAAGAGCGCGUAGGCGGAUGUUUAAGUGUGGCCUCAAAGCCCCCGGCUCAACCGGGGAUCUGGGUUGCAAACUGGGCAUCUUGAGGGGGAUAGAGGAGAGUGGAAUUCCUGGUGUAGCGGUGAAAUGCGUAGAUAUCAGGAGGAACACCCGUGGCGAAGGCGGCUCUCUGGGUCCGCCCUGACGCUGAGGCGCGAAAGCGUGGGGAGCGAA